GACGAACGCUGGCGGCGUGCCUAAUACAUGCAAGUCGAACGAACCGCGACUGAGUGCUUGCACUUGGUCAAGGUGAGUGGCGAACGGGUGAGUAACACGUGGGUAACCUACCUCAUAGUGGGGGAUAACAGUCGGAAACGACUGCUAAUACCGCAUAGGACAUAGGAUCACAUGAUCCAGUGAGGAAAGGUGGCGCAAGCUAUCGCUAAGAGAUGGACCCGCGGUGCAUUAGCUAGUUGGUAGGGUAACGGCCUACCAAGGCGAUGAUGCAUAGCCGACCUGAGAGGGUGAUCGGCCACAUUGGGACUGAGACACGGCCCAAACUCCUACGGGAGGCAGCAGUAGGGAAUCUUCCGCAAUGGACGCAAGUCUGACGGAGCAACGCCGCGUGAGUGAAGAAGGUCUUCGGAUCGUAAAGCUCUGUUGUUAGAGAAGAACAG
RNAcentral lists this ribosomal RNA (440 nucleotides) under Abiotrophia defectiva. RNAcentral's name for it is "bacterial SSU rRNA". It matches the Rfam family "Bacterial small subunit ribosomal RNA", at positions 28 to 452 of the family's 1533-position model. The record is from RNAcentral. Lineage: Bacteria; Bacillati; Bacillota; Bacilli; Lactobacillales; Aerococcaceae.